RNAcentral lists this unclassified non-coding RNA (254 nucleotides) under rhizosphere metagenome. Its description in RNAcentral is "partial ribosomal RNA internal transcribed spacer region". The record is from RNAcentral.
GUUGGUGAACCAGCGGAGGGAUCAUUACAGAGUUGCAAAACUCCCACAAACCAUUGUGAACAAUACCCCCAAAACCGUUGCUUCGGCGGGCGGCACCCGGGCCUCAACCCCCCGGGAGCCGUCGCCCCAACCCCUCCCUAGCGGGGGGGCCAGGGCGCCCGCCGGAGGUACCUAACUCUUGACCUUUGUAUGGCCUCUCUGAGUCUCUGUACUUUAAUAAGUCAAAACUUUCAACAACGGAUCUCUUGGUUCUG